GCAGCCGCCGCGGUAAUACGAAGGGUGCAAGCGUUAAUCGGAAUUACUGGGCGUAAAGCGUGCGUAGGUGGUGGUUUAAGUCCGUUGUGAAAGCCCUGGGCUCAACCUGGGAAUUGCGGUGGAUACUGGGUCACUAGAGUGUGGUAGAGGAUAGUGGAAUUUCCGGUGUAGCAGUGAAAUGCGUAGAGAUCGGAAGGAACAUCUGUGGCGAAGGCGACUAUCUGGGCCAACACUGACACUGAGGCACGAAAGCGUGGGGAGCAAACAGGAUUAGAUACCCCCGUAGUCCCUGUCUCUUAUACACA
Molecule: ribosomal RNA, 305 nt
Filed under: uncultured bacterium
Lineage: Bacteria
Description: partial 16S ribosomal RNA
Rfam family: Bacterial small subunit ribosomal RNA
Source: RNAcentral